GGAUAACUUACCCUUUAGGACUGGGAUAACUCUGGGAAACUGGGGAUAAUACUGGAUAUUAGGCUAUGCCUGGAAUGGUUUGCCUUUGAAAUGUUUUUUUCGCCUAAGGAUAGGUCUGCGGCUGAUUAGGUCGUUGGUGGGGUAAUGGCCCACCAAGCCGAUGAUCGGUACGGGUUGUGAGAGCAAGGGCCCGGAGAUGGAACCUGAGACAAGGUUCCAGACCCUACGGGGUGCAGCAGGCGCGAAACCUCCGCAAUGUACGAAAGUGCGACGGGGGGAUCCCAAGUGUUAUGCUUUUUUGUAUGACCUUUCAUUAGUGUAAAAAGCUUUUAGAAUAAGAGCUGGGCAAGACCGGUGCCAGCCGCCGCGGUAACACCGGCAGCUCGAGUGGUAGCUGUUUUUAUUGGGCCUAAAGCGUUCGUAGCCGGUUUGAUAAGUCUUUGGUGAAAGCUUGUAGCUUAACUAUAAGAAUUGCUGGAGAUACUAUUAGACUUGAAGUCGGGAGAGGUUAGAGGUACUACCGGGGUAGGGGUGAAAUCCUAUAAUCCUGGGAGGACCACCUGUGGCGAAGGCGUCUAACUGGAACGAUCUUGACGGUGAGUAACGAAAGCCAGGGGCGCGAACCGGAUUAGAUACCCGGGUAGUCCUGGCCGUAAACGAUGUGGACUUGGUGUUGGAAUGGCUUUGAGUUGUUCCGGUGCCGAAGGGAAGCUGUUAAGUCCACCGCCUGGGAAGUACGGUCGCAAGACUGAAACUUAA
This 759-nucleotide ribosomal RNA is filed under the name uncultured archaeon. RNAcentral's name for it is "bacterial SSU rRNA". It matches the Rfam family "Archaeal small subunit ribosomal RNA", at positions 102 to 859 of the family's 1478-position model. The record is from RNAcentral.